Molecule: unclassified non-coding RNA, 436 nt
Filed under: uncultured fungus
Lineage: Eukaryota; Fungi
Description: partial contains small subunit ribosomal RNA, internal transcribed spacer 1, and 5.8S ribosomal RNA
Rfam family: Eukaryotic small subunit ribosomal RNA (bases 1-73)
Source: RNAcentral
GCAAACUUGGUCAUUUAGAGGAAGUACAAGUCGUAACAAGGUAUCCGUAGGUGAACCUGCGGAUGGAUCAUUACCAAGAGUUUGUCUCUGCGUAUUGUGAACAGUAUGGAAGAGUGCAUUGGGGUUUCGUGCCCCGGCGCAAUCAACACAUAAUCAUGCUCUGAGUCUGUUUUGGCGCUUGCGCGGAAACAAUACAACUUUUAGCAAUGGAUCUCUUGGCUCUCGUAACAAGGUAUCCGUAGGUGAACCUGCGGAUGGAUCAUUACCAAGAGUUUGUCUCUGCGUAUUGUGAACAGUAUGGAAGAGUGCAUUGGGGUUUCGUGCCCCGGCGCAAUCAACACAUAAUCAUGCUCUGAGUCUGUUUUGGCGCUUGCGCGGAAACAAUACAACUUUUAGCAAUGGAUCUCUUGGCUCUCGCAUCGAUGAAGAACGCAGC